This 675-nucleotide ribosomal RNA is filed under the name Leodamas rubra. Its description in RNAcentral is "partial 16S ribosomal RNA". The stretch from base 1 to 536 matches the Rfam family "Bacterial large subunit ribosomal RNA", at positions 1922 to 2925 of the family's 2925-position model. Lineage: Eukaryota; Metazoa; Annelida; Polychaeta; Orbiniidae. The record is from RNAcentral.
GUUAAACGGCCGCGGUAGCCUAACCGUGCUAAGGUAGCAUAAUCAUUUGCCUCUUAAUUAGUGGCUAGUAUGAAAGGACAAACGAGAGCCUAGCUGUCUCCUUCCUACAAAUAAAAUUUAACCUCUAGGUGAAAAGGCCUAGAUAUCUAUAUAGGACAAGAAGACCCUGUCAAGCUUCACUAAAAUAAAAUAACAACCCAUAUUUCUAUAACCAUCUUAUUAUUAAAUUAGUUUAGUUGGGGCGACUGGGAAUAAAAACUAACAUUCCCCCAUAACAUAGGACAAUAAUCCAACUCAAUCUGACCCUUCACUAAAGACCAAGAGAAAAGCUACUGCAGGGAUAACAGGCUAAUUUUCCUUAAGAGUCCAAAUCGAAAGGAAAGUUUGGCACCUCGAUGUUGGCUUAAGACACCCUUAAAGUGCAGCAGCUUUAAAUGGUAGGUUUGUUCACCCUUUAAAGUCUUACGUGAGCUGAGUUCAGACCGGCGCAAGCCAGGUCAGAUUCUAUCCAUAUAGUCCACCAAACUCUCAACCAAUUGUACGAAAGGAUCCUGGUUCACUAAUCAUCACAACUAGAACCUCUAAACCUCUCUCUCCCAUAAUAUAAACUUCUAGACUUUUCUACCAACCCCGAAACCCCUAAAUCGGAAUACGACUUUCGUAAAAGUCCCUCAU